AAACACUCUCAAUUAUAUAUCAUAUAAAUAAUCAUAAAAAAAUUUAUUUUGCAUGCAUAUAUUUUUGGCCUGCUCUAAUACCAGUUGAAAGGAAGGAAACAGUUUUCCUACAGAAUGCCCAGGUUGCAUCUAAAUUUUUUUUUUAAUGUUCUACUUGUUUAAGAAUAAAAUUCUUUACCUGAAUCAUAGUAGAACUAGGGAUCAAAUCCUAAAUUAUAUGAUAUAAAUCUUCACAGAGGCCUGGAUAUGCAGAUCCUCUACUUCACAUGCACGUCAGACGCUGCAGGAAAGCAGGAUGAACUCCAAUCCAAUUGACUUCGCAUACACAAUCAAUCAAGAGAUAAGAUGUGAUGAUAUGACACCUCACACUAGUAGGUAGGAUGCCUAAGAAGGAUCCAUGCCCAAAGAGAGGAGGCGGCAACAA
RNAcentral lists this long non-coding RNA (424 nucleotides) under Elaeis guineensis (African oil palm). RNAcentral describes it as "long non-coding RNA (EGUI_LNC050353)". Lineage: Eukaryota; Viridiplantae; Streptophyta; Magnoliopsida; Arecales; Arecaceae. The record is from RNAcentral.